AGGAGCCGGAUGAAUCGAGAGAUUCAUGUCCGGUUGCGUGAGGGCCUGCGGGUGAGAUCCCCUCGGGCUACUCGAC
RNAcentral lists this non-coding RNA (76 nucleotides) under Photorhabdus temperata subsp. temperata Meg1. Lineage: Bacteria; Pseudomonadati; Pseudomonadota; Gammaproteobacteria; Enterobacterales; Morganellaceae. The record is from RNAcentral.